UGGGAAUUAAAUAAGUGAAGAGAACUUUUUUGGAAAAAUAAAAUAAAAUGCCAUAUAUAAAUGAUCAGAGAAGGAAGUUGAGGGAUUGUGAAGUAUCUUUCUUUGCAUGAAAUAAGUUUGUCAAAACUGGAAAGAUUACUCUUGCAGGAUCCGGCGUAUAAUCACUUAUUUUCUCCUCUGAUUUUGUUAUGUGAAGGUGGGGUUCCUAAGGAAUCAACGCGAGAUCCUCUUGCCUUUUGCCUGGAUUUUAAGAGAUCUAGCUGUAAAAGGGAAAGCUCAAUAAUUUAAUAUUAUGUUGGGUUGAUUAACAAUAUAUGUAUAGAGUUAGUCAAGUUCAACUUCUACCCUAGGCCACCUACUAUGUAAACAAAUUCUAAUGUAUAGUUUAGAGAGUUAGAGAGAGAGAAAUAGGGCACCUUUAAUCAGAGUUGAUUGGUAAAAGUUGAUUGGAUCUCGUGAAGUAGAGUUUUUAGUUUGCUAGUUUCGAUGGAGGGGACGUUUGUUAGAUCUUGCUUGAAUUUCAUAGAAAAUUUUUACUGCUAUCAUUAUAGACUUUGUUUUCAUGUGAAGAUGGGACUUUUGGGAGAGAGAAAAAGAUAAGUUUAUACAAUUACAUAUAGCUUGAAGAACUCUUGGGAUGAACCCAUUAGCCCUUUUACUUUAAUGAUAAGGAA
This 674-nucleotide long non-coding RNA is filed under the name Carica papaya (papaya). RNAcentral describes it as "long non-coding RNA (CPAP_LNC009546)". The record is from RNAcentral. Lineage: Eukaryota; Viridiplantae; Streptophyta; Magnoliopsida; Brassicales; Caricaceae.